This 253-nucleotide ribosomal RNA is filed under the name uncultured bacterium. Its description in RNAcentral is "partial 16S ribosomal RNA". It matches the Rfam family "Bacterial small subunit ribosomal RNA", at positions 524 to 776 of the family's 1533-position model. The record is from RNAcentral.
UACGGAGGGAGCUAGCGUUGUUCGGAAUUACUGGGCGUAAAGCGCACGUAGGCGGCUUUGUAAGUUAGAGGUGAAAGCCCGGGGCUCAACCCCGGAAUAGCCUUUAAGACUGCAUCGCUUGAAUCCGGGAGAGGUGAGUGGAAUUCCGAGUGUAGAGGUGAAAUGCGCAGAUAUCAGGAAGAACACCCGUGGCGAAGGCGGCUCUCUGGGACGGUACUGACGCUGAGACGCGAAAGCGUGGGGAGCGAACAGG